RNAcentral lists this ribosomal RNA (348 nucleotides) under uncultured bacterium. RNAcentral's name for it is "partial 16S ribosomal RNA". It matches the Rfam family "Bacterial small subunit ribosomal RNA", at positions 338 to 703 of the family's 1533-position model. The record is from RNAcentral.
CCUACGGGAGGCAGCAGUGGGGGAUAUUGCACAAUGGGGGAAACCCUGAUGCAGCGACGCCGCGUGGGGGAAGACGGUCCGCUGGAUUGUAAACCACUGUCCCCAGGGACGAAGAUGACGGUACCGGGGGAGGAAGCGCCGGCGAACUACGUGCCAGCAGCCGCGGUAAUACGGAGGGAGCGAGCGUGGUCCGGAAUUACUGGGUGUAAAGGGAGCGUAGGCGGGCCUGCAAGUUGGGUGUCAAAUCUACCGGCUCAACCGGUAGCCGCACUCCAAACUGCAGUUCUUGAGUGAAGUAGAGGCAGGCUGCAUUCCUAGUGUAGCGGUGACAUGCGUAGAUAUUAGGCG